AUUGUUCCUUUCUGUAUUGUGCUGAGAGGAUCCAAGGGAUUGGUGGGGGAACAGGCAAGCCAGGCAUCACCGUGGAUGUUGAAGAAGGGGGUUACUCAAACCUCGGCAUCUUCACUUGCUCGAUCUGGAAUUACAGCUAUUUAUUACGAAGCACUCUGUGUGGCUUAGUGGAGUGUGUCUGAGGAAACACAUCCCAGACACCACUUAGGGUUAGUCUUUCUGAGCUCUUCACAUCUCUGACUAAUUAUCAUCAUUACCAUGGAGCCCAACAGUCCCAAAAAGAUACAGUUUGCCGUGCCUGUAUUCCAGAGUCAGAUUGCACCUGAAGCAGCAGAGCAGAUCAGGAAAAGAAGACCUACACCAGCAUCACUUGUGAUUCUCAAUGAGCAUAACCCCCCAGAAAUAGAUGACAAGAGGGUGCCCAACACACAAGGGGAAUUACAGAAUGCAUCCCCUAAGCAAAGGAAGCAGAGUGUGUACACGCCACCCACCAUAAAAGGGGUUAAGCAUCUGAAAGGCCAGAAUGAAUCAGCGUUCCCUGAAGAAGAAGAAGGCACCAGUGAAAGAGAGGAGCAGCGGGACCAUUAAUUACUGGUCUGCAGCAAGAAGCCUUCUUGGAAAUAACUGAACUAUUAACUUUUCUGAGUAUACCAUGGAAUUCCACUGCUUGACUUCCAGAAGCAUCCUCCAUCUCUGCACCCCACACUCAUACAGUAGCUAUGCACAUCCUGGAAGUCUCCUUGACUGAACUUUAGAACUAAGUGCAAAAUGAGUUGAUAACAACCAGAAGUUGACUUGUUAGUGCUGUGCUUCUACUUGAGCUUGGAAAAAUCCCAACACAAAACAAACACCACCUCCAAUUCCAUCAUGAUGCCACGUUGCUUUCUACUGGAUUACCUCCUGAAGCACUUUAGAUAUUUUAUACAUAAGUAUUGACAUGUUUUUCAGAAGCUGUUUCUUCACUUAUUGCUUUUUUCUAAUAAUUUUUAUUACACCAUUUGCCAAGUCCUUCCCUUUGGUUUUAGUUUAUUCCUCUCUACAACUAAAAAAGGGAUCUUGAGUUUAGGUACAUUUUAAGUGAUUCAUUUUUAGUUUUUCUAAUUCUGGAAUCUGAGCCUUCUCUUGCAACAGGGAGUCUUUCAAACACAUUUUUUUGUUUCUUUUUCAAAUUCCACUGUGUUUAUUUAUUGCCUUGUUUCUUUUUCAAAUUCCAUUGGUCUUGAUUUAAUUUAGUUCCACAGAUUUUACUGAUAGUCUACUACCUGCCAACUACUGAAUUAUGCAGCAGACUUAUAAAAAUAAAAAGGCUAUUUUAUUGUUAUUGCCAUCCUGCUAGUAAAGAUUUAUUCAAUUAUUUAUAAUUAAUUAAGUGGCUUCACCUAUAUUUCUGUUAAUAAUCACAUUAAUUAUGUAUGACAGGUAGGAUAUAUGUUAUACAUAAGAAAACUAGAGUCCAAAGAAAAUAAGUGUCCCCAAAUGAACCAAUAAUCCAACAAACGCUUCCACUAACUAGCUUCUGACCUGUUUGAGUUGUGAUAGAUUUUAGAAUAAAAAAGCCCAUCCUCCUUAGGAGCCAUAGACUUUUAUUCUUUCUUAUACUGUCUUAUAUAUUGACUUAGAGCUAAACUUCCUCCAAUUCAGACAUAAAGCAUAGGCAGAUACUUUUGCUAAUGAGGCUAAGCUGGGAAGAAAACCCUGAGUUCUACUUUAAUUCUUGGGCAUUGACUUCAAACUAAGAUGACUUAUAAGAAAUAAAAGAAGUAAAUUUGAAACUUUAAUUAAAAAAGUACAUGGUUCAUUUAAAAAUGUUUCCUAUGUCUAAAUCUAUAUUUUAAAAAUAACCUUUAUCAUGUAAAAUGAGAGAAUUGCUGAGUUUAUGACAAUCUUAGGUAUAACCUUUUCUUAAAGAACAAGGCAUCAAUCUUUAAUUUGUUUCCCUUUCUUGAUUUCUCGUAAGUUGCAAAAUAAAAAUAAAAAUAAUUUCACAAAUUGUUCAUUAUUAUUAUCCUCCCUACUUGCCCCAGGAUUUAAGUACUAACUUUUACUUCCUACUCUUAGACUUUGUAUUGCCAAAGAAAUAAAAUAUGAAAAAGCGUAAUCACCCAGACCUACCUGCGGAAUUGUGGAUUAUGCUGUAGAUAUUAGAUCAUUGAAAGGAACAAUAUACUACUUAAUGAGGAGCCAAAGACAACAUUCUACCUGCUGCUCCCUUCAAGCUGAGGAAUGAGUUUAAUUGACUUCAAAGUCCCAUUAUUCUCAAAAGUAGCAAAGGUACAACAUGGCUUUGCAUGAAUCAAAGGAAGGGGACAACAAGAACUUAAAAAAAUAGUUUGCAGAUGGUUGAACAUCUCUUUAAUAAUUAGAGAAGAAUAUCUUUUCUUUCUUUAUUGUUUACAGAUACCAACAUUUUUCAAAGCCUUGCAGUAGAUGAGUGAGUCUCCUGUUACGUUUCUCCUGCAGCAUAUAUUCUGUGGAUGUGUUUUCCUAAGCAGACUAAUUAUAUGUUGCUCUCUUCUUUUACCCUAAUGAAACAUAGAUUUUUCUGUUUUGAAUUUGUCACUUGUUUGUUACAUUUGUCAAGUGUUUUAAAUAUUACAUUGGUCCUUUAUUUGCUUUUGAGAACACCCAAUAGUUUAAAAAUUAAAAUGACAUGAAGGUCAAUUCUAAGACAGGAAUGAUACUACUAAAUCCUGGACUUGCCUAUGAUAACAAGCUCGAGCUACACACUUUUAUUGUCAGAAUAAAUGGAAUAUAUAGGAAGGAGUUAAUUGGAACUGGUUAGUACCUAAAUAAGAUUUUUCAAAGUAAGUUUUUUGUCGUAUUGGCAGAACAGUGUUAAAAAAUAGACAUUGUCAUCAUAAACACCCACAACUAUAUCUGUAAAAGAUAAUUUAAUGCAAUAUUCUGGGGAAAAUACAGUUGCCAAAAUUAA
Molecule: RNA transcript, 2932 nt
Organism: Pan troglodytes (chimpanzee)
Lineage: Eukaryota; Metazoa; Chordata; Mammalia; Primates; Hominidae
Gene: PPP1R1C
Gene name: protein phosphatase 1 regulatory inhibitor subunit 1C
Exons: 6
Source: RefSeq, a predicted model, not a curated record